GGGCGCUUAGCUCAGUUGGUUAGAGCGCCGCCUUUACACGGCGGAUGUCGCAGGUUCGAGUCCUGCAGCGCUCA
RNAcentral lists this transfer RNA (74 nucleotides) under Planctomycetota bacterium. Its description in RNAcentral is "Planctomycetes bacterium tRNA-Val". It matches the Rfam family "tRNA". From Rfam's summary of the family: Transfer RNA (tRNA) molecules are approximately 80 nucleotides in length. Their secondary structure includes four short double-helical elements and three loops (D, anti-codon, and T loops). Further hydrogen bonds mediate the characteristic L-shaped molecular structure. tRNAs have two regions of fundamental functional importance: the anti-codon, which is responsible for specific mRNA codon recognition, and the 3' end, to which the tRNAs corresponding amino acid is attached (by aminoacyl-tRNA synthetases). tRNAs cope with the degeneracy of the genetic code in two manners: having more than one tRNA (with a specific anti-codon) for a particular amino acid; and 'wobble' base-pairing, i.e. permitting non-standard base-pairing at the 3rd anti-codon position. Lineage: Bacteria; Pseudomonadati; Planctomycetota. The record is from RNAcentral.